This is a long non-coding RNA of Pseudopipra pipra, 1099 nucleotides long. RefSeq lists it as uncharacterized. NCBI's taxonomy places the organism in Eukaryota, Metazoa, Chordata, Aves, Passeriformes, Pipridae. The transcript has 4 exons. The record is from RefSeq and is a predicted model, not a curated record.
UGAUUCUAUGAAGCACUGCACACUCACAGCUGCAAUGUGAUAUUUUGCAUAAUGGCAGUUCAAAGUGAUGGAGGAAAUCAUGCCAAGCAGUGUACUCAGAAUUAUCUGCCUUAUAUGCUGAUACUUUUCCACGCUAUCAAGAUUGUCUGGUUGUAUGGUCUGGAGAAAGCCAGUAUUCCUACUAUGCUGCCUAAAUCCAGGACACCAUGUGACAUUCCACACCUGCCUCUUACCCACCCCCACCAGGUCAAGUCAGUGCAGUGUCUGUAUGAAGUCUUCUUAUAAACCAGCAGAACAGUCUGGAAAAAAUAAAUUUGAAAAUGUGCUUUUUCAAGAAACCCAGAAAACAUGAGACUUUCUUAAGAAAAUUAAUCUAAGAAAUUAAUCGUACAGCCUCCAGGUGCUGAUGUUCACCCAGCCCUCUUCCCAAGACUUCCAUGUGCAUUUUGGCCCAACAAGGGCCAAGAACCAUUUCCAAUAGAAAAUUUGGAUUCAUCAUCUCUGCUUUAGUGAAUAACAACGAUAAAGACUGCUCAUUUAUGUACACCAGCCAAGCUGCACUCAGAGCCAUCUUAACUGUUGAUGCCACUGCUACUGGUAUGUCAUGUAAAAGUCAAGGGAGCCUGAUCCUAAACGUCAUUUGAAUAAAGGAGCUUUGAGAUUUUUGGUUCUAGAAAAUUUUAUCCAAAUCUGCAAAAACACAUUAUUGCAUUUCACACACAACACAAGUGAAAUAUUUGUCCUAUUUGGUCCUGAGUUUAAUACACUUCACAGCCAACUCUGGUGAAUUGUGCCUUCUUUGAAGUUCCCUUGAUCAUUUCUUCAAGUCAUUUUAACCCUUUACACAAGUCUUAAACAAUGUUGGUUUUGUCUCCUUGACCUAAGUCGUGAUUCCUCCUUUAACAUGUAGAUCCUACUCAUCCUCCCUUUUCCCCUCAUUCACUAUCCACCAUCAGACCAUAUACAGUUCAGGUGACAGGAUCUUUUACCCAUUGCAGUACAUUUCAACCUAUAGUUUGUGGUGUGCAAAUGUGGCUUACUAUGAUUGAAGUUCAAUCCACAAAUUUUCUGCCCUCCCAGGCUUCUGGAUAAUUUUUAU